CAUAAUCAAGAACGAAAGUAAACAGAAAUAGUAUUUAAGAUGACAAGAAGAAGUUUGGCUAAUUCUUUAGAUUAAAUAUGGAUUGAAAAAGAAGCAAUAAUAACAUCUGCAUAAGCGUCCAAGCACUGCUCUUAAUAUAGUCUGAGAUUACUCUGACGUCCAACGGCUGUUUUGCCAGACAAGGUGGGGUCAGAGCUCGUCCCAUAUCAAAAAGUGGAUAUUUGCCCAUCCAAAAUAGAUGCGCUGCUUCGUCGAUUCUGGUGCCGACUAACGGCCUUAAGAUUAUAUAAAUCAGUAGCUAUAUAGAAAUUGAAAUGAAUGAUUGCGAAUCAAGGAUCACUUACGAGUUUCAAUUCUACUUACUUUGCAAGAAUAGGGUGUGCUGCACAACAGUUAUUGCCAAAUAUUUUACAGGAAUUGCUUCUUAUCAAAGAACAACCAUCUUUGUUACAAGUUGAUGUUCAUAACAAUACAUUCUAGAAACAACAUUACGACCUGAUCAAUUUUUACUGAUAAAUAGUGUUACAACCAACGGGUAUGCAUAUUUCGAUAUACCCUUGAGUUAUAAAAUUAUUCGGAACCUUAACCUUAAUCAUUUAAAAUCUUA
Molecule: long non-coding RNA, 607 nt
Organism: Mytilus trossulus (common blue mussel)
Lineage: Eukaryota; Metazoa; Mollusca; Bivalvia; Mytilida; Mytilidae
Exons: 3
Source: RefSeq, a predicted model, not a curated record